GUGCUCACUUCAGCAUCAUGUGUACUAAAAUUAGAAUGAAAGAGAGAAGAUUAGAGUGGCCCCUGUGCAAGAACGACAUGCAGAUUCAUGAAAUGUUCCAUAUUAUU
Molecule: small nuclear RNA, 107 nt
Filed under: Notamacropus eugenii (tammar wallaby)
Lineage: Eukaryota; Metazoa; Chordata; Mammalia; Diprotodontia; Macropodidae
Source: RNAcentral